Molecule: ribosomal RNA, 468 nt
Filed under: uncultured bacterium
Lineage: Bacteria
Description: bacterial SSU rRNA
Rfam family: Bacterial small subunit ribosomal RNA
Source: RNAcentral
UCGAGCGGUAGAGAGAAGCUUGCUUUUCUUGAGAGCGGCGGACGGGUGAGUAAUGCCUAGGAAUCUGCCUGGUAGUGGGGGAUAACGUUCGGAAACGGACGCUAAUACCGCAUACGUCCUACGGGAGAAAGCAGGGGACCUUCGGGCCUUGCGCUAUCAGAUGAGCCUAGGUCGGAUUAGCUAGUUGGUGAGGCAACGGCUCACCAAGGCGACGAUGCGUAGCCGACCUGAGAGGGUGACCGGCCACACUGGGACUGAGACACGGCCCAGACUCCUACGGGAGGCAGCAGUAGGGAAUCCUCCGCAAUGGACGAAAGUCUGACGGAGCAACGCCGCGUGAGCGAAGAAGGUCUUCGGAUCGUAAAGCUCUGUUGUCAGGGAAGAACAAGUGCCGUUCGAACAGGGCGGUACCUUGACGGUACCUGACGAGGAAGCCACGGCUAACUACGUGCCAGCAGCCGCGGUAAU